CCUACGGGUGGCAGCAGUGAGGAAUAUUGGUCAAUGGACGCAAGUCUGAACCAGCCAAGUAGCGUGCAGGAUGACGGCCCUCCGGGUUGUAAACUGCUUUUAGUUGGGAAUAAAAGGGGCCUCGUGCGCCCCGUCUUGUAUGUACCAUCAGAAAAAGUCCCGGCUAAUUCCGUGCCAGCAGCCGCGGUAAUACGGAAGGUCCGGGCGUUAUCCGGAUUUUUUGGGUUUAAAGGGCGCGUAGGCUGGCUUUUAAGUCAGCUGGUAAAGUCCGCGGCUCAACCGUGGAAUUGCAGUUGAAACUGGAGGCCUUGAGUGCACACAGGGAUGCCGGAAUUCAUGGUGUAGCGGUGAAAUGCUUAGAUAUCAUGAAGAACUCCGAUCGCGAAGGCAAGUGUCCGGGGUGCAACUGACGCUGAGGCUCGAAAGUGCGGGUAUCAAACAGGAUUAGAUACCCCAGUAGUC
This 462-nucleotide ribosomal RNA is filed under the name uncultured bacterium. RNAcentral describes it as "partial 16S ribosomal RNA". It matches the Rfam family "Bacterial small subunit ribosomal RNA", at positions 338 to 795 of the family's 1533-position model. The record is from RNAcentral.